This 782-nucleotide long non-coding RNA is filed under the name Pogona vitticeps (central bearded dragon). RNAcentral describes it as "lncRNA (ENSPVIG00000012402.1)". Lineage: Eukaryota; Metazoa; Chordata; Lepidosauria; Squamata; Agamidae. The record is from RNAcentral.
ACCCACCCCAAAAGGGAGGGUGACUGCAGAGGGCGCAAGGCAAAAAGGAAACCGUCCUCCCGAAGAACCAGUGAAGAAGAACAAAAUAAACAGUGGGAAGACAAGAUCAUCAAACCACUAAUGGAGAAGAAACGAAGGAACCGAAUUGCUCAUUCUCUCAAUCAGCUAAAGGCUCUAUUGCUAGAUGGGUCCAAUCCAGGCAACAAGGCUCUUUCUAAUUCUCGCAUGGACAAGGCAGCUCUUUUGGAAAUGACUGUAAAGCGGAUCCAAACGUUGCAGUUAGCAGCGGCCUUCAUCUCAGACAGACAGCAGUAUCAGGAGACUCCGAAUCAACUGGCCUCUGCAUCCAGCUCCAUUUGUGAGACCACCACCCUGGCAAUCCCUCUGCCAGCACCUAACCUGGGAAGUAUUUCCAUCUGGAGUGGGAAACACCUGACUUCUGCCACCCUUCACUGUUCUGGAAGGUCUGUUCCUUCUGUGGUCCUCAGCAAAACAGGGUCUCAGGUGUUCUGGAGACCUUGGUCUACAUGAAUGUCUUCUUAUUCAUGCAUGGGUAUGUGAAAAGAACCUUGCCUGUACUGGAGCCUCUAAUUUAUUUCUCAGUGGAUAAAUGUUUUCAGGAAAUCCGUUCCUGCCUAUGGUGGGAUGUAUUUAGCCUCUUGUUCUUGCUGUGUCUCUUGUCUUAACCUCCACAUGCAAGCUGAUUUUCUUCAGAUACUGCUGUUUCAUACUGUGCUUAGUAUUGCUCAUGUAUUUUAAAUAAAAAUAUUUACAGAAAAACA